UGAAGGACUUUGAUUUACCAUUGUAAAAUUUCGAUAUGCCUCUCCUUAUGGGUAAAGCCUCCUCCAAGGAAUCCAUAGAAUCAAACGUCCCUUUGUACGCGCUUUGCACUUCAUUUUCCUCCUCACAAUUCUCGCCAUCCAACGACUCUCUCCCCGAUAGAUCGCUAUUCUUUCCAAUGGACGACGUCGUCGAGGACGCCGAUGAGCUACAUUGAUUCACUUCCACCCUCUCCUCCUCACCCUCCUCCUUAUCAACCAAUCCACUCUCCGCUGGCGACUCGAAGAUCCCGGGCUUGGCGAUGCACGCGAUCCCUCCGCGCGCAUAUCCGGAACGUUGGAUCUCUCUCAUCCUCUACUAAUCUCCAAAGCUGAAGACA
This 377-nucleotide unclassified non-coding RNA is filed under the name Hevea brasiliensis (rubber tree). The record is from RNAcentral. Lineage: Eukaryota; Viridiplantae; Streptophyta; Magnoliopsida; Malpighiales; Euphorbiaceae.